ACUAAGCGUACACGGUGGAUGCCCUGGCAGUCAGAGGCGAUGAAGGACGUGCUAAUCUGCGAUAAGCGUCGGUAAGGUGAUAUGAACCGUUAUAACCGGCGAUUUCCGAAUGGGGAAACCCAGUGUGUUUCGACACACUAUCAUUAACUGAAUCCAUAGGUUAAUGAGGCGAACCGGGGGAACUGAAACAUCUAAGUACCCCGAGGAAAAGAAAUCAACCGAGAUUCCCCCAGUAGCGGCGAGCGAACGGGGAGCAGCCCAGAGCCUGAAUCAGUGUGUGUGUUAGUGGAAGCGUCUGGAAAGGCGCGCGAUACAGGGUGACAGCCCCGUACACAAAAAUGCACAUGCUGUGAGCUCGAUGAGUAGGGCGGGACACGUGGUAUCCUGUCUGAAUAUGGGGGGACCAUCCUCCAAGGCUAAAUACUCCUGACUGACCGAUAGUGAACCAGUACCGUGAGGGAAAGGCGAAAAGAACCCCGGCGAGGGGAGUGAAAAAGAACCUGAAACCGUGUACGUACAAGCAGUGGGAGCACGCUUAGGCGUGUGACUGCGUACCUUUUGUAUAAUGGGUCAGCGACUUAUAUUCUGUAGCAAGGUUAACCGAAUAGGGGAGCCGAAGGGAAACCGAGUCUUAACUGGGCGUUAAGUUGCAGGGUAUAGACCCGAAACCCGGUGAUCUAGCCAUGGGCAGGUUGAAGGUUGGGUAACACUAACUGGAGGACCGAACCGACUAAUGUUGAAAAAUUAGCGGAUGACUUGUGGCUGGGGGUGAAAGGCCAAUCAAACCGGGAGAUAGCUGGUUCUCCCCGAAAGCUAUUUAGGUAGCGCCUCGUGAAUUCAUCUCCGGGGGUAGAGCACUGUUUCGGCAAGGGGGUCAUCCCGACUUACCAACCCGAUGCAAACUGCGAAUACCGGAGAAUGUUAUCACGGGAGACACACGGCGGGUGCUAACGUCCGUCGUGAAGAGGGAAACAACCCAGACCGCCAGCUAAGGUCCCAAAGUCAUGGUUAAGUGGGAAACGAUGUGGGAAGGCCCAGACAGCCAGGAUGUUGGCUUAGAAGCAGCCAUCAUUUAAAGAAAGCGUAAUAGCUCACUGGUCGAGUCGGCCUGCGCGGAAGAUGUAACGGGGCUAAACCAUGCACCGAAGCUGCGGCAGCGACGCUUAUGCGUUGUUGGGUAGGGGAGCGUUCUGUAAGCCUGCGAAGGUGUGCUGUGAGGCAUGCUGGAGGUAUCAGAAGUGCGAAUGCUGACAUAAGUAACGAUAAAGCGGGUGAAAAGCCCGCUCGCCGGAAGACCAAGGGUUCCUGUCCAACGUUAAUCGGGGCAGGGUGAGUCGACCCCUAAGGCGAGGCCGAAAGGCGUAGUCGAUGGGAAACAGGUUAAUAUUCCUGUACUUGGUGUUACUGCGAAGGGGGGACGGAGAAGGCUAUGUUGGCCGGGCGACGGUUGUCCCGGUUUAAGCGUGUAGGCUGGUUUUCCAGGCAAAUCCGGAAAAUCAAGGCUGAGGCGUGAUGACGAGGCACUACGGUGCUGAAGCAACAAAUGCCCUGCUUCCAGGAAAAGCCUCUAAGCAUCAGGUAACAUCAAAUCGUACCCCAAACCGACACAGGUGGUCAGGUAGAGAAUACCAAGGCGCUUGAGAGAACUCGGGUGAAGGAACUAGGCAAAAUGGUGCCGUAACUUCGGGAGAAGGCACGCUGAUAUGUAGGUGAAGCGACUUGCUCGUGGAGCUGAAAUCAGUCGAAGAUACCAGCUGGCUGCAACUGUUUAUUAAAAACACAGCACUGUGCAAACACGAAAGUGGACGUAUACGGUGUGACGCCUGCCCGGUGCCGGAAGGUUAAUUGAUGGGGUUAGCGCAAGCGAAGCUCUUGAUCGAAGCCCCGGUAAACGGCGGCCGUAACUAUAACGGUCCUAAGGUAGCGAAAUUCCUUGUCGGGUAAGUUCCGACCUGCACGAAUGGCGUAAUGAUGGCCAGGCUGUCUCCACCCGAGACUCAGUGAAAUUGAACUCGCUGUGAAGAUGCAGUGUACCCGCGGCAAGACGGAAAGACCCCGUGAACCUUUACUAUAGCUUGACACUGAACAUUGAGCCUUGAUGUGUAGGAUAGGUGGGAGGCUUAGAAGUGUGGACGCCAGUCUGCAUGGAGCCGACCUUGAAAUACCACCCUUUAAUGUUUGAUGUUCUAACGUUGACCCGUAAUCCGGGUUGCGGACAGUGUCUGGUGGGUAGUUUGACUGGGGCGGUCUCCUCCUAAAGAGUAACGGAGGAGCACGAAGGUUGGCUAAUCCUGGUCGGACAUCAGGAGGUUAGUGCAAUGGCAUAAGCCAGCUUGACUGCGAGCGUGACGGCGCGAGCAGGUGCGAAAGCAGGUCAUAGUGAUCCGGUGGUUCUGAAUGGAAGGGCCAUCGCUCAACGGAUAAAAGGUACUCCGGGGAUAACAGGCUGAUACCGCCCAAGAGUUCAUAUCGACGGCGGUGUUUGGCACCUCGAUGUCGGCUCAUCACAUCCUGGGGCUGAAGUAGGUCCCAAGGGUGUUGCUGUUCGCCAUUUAAAGUGGUACGCGAGCUGGGUUUAGAACGUCGUGAGACAGUUCGGUCCCUAUCUGCCGUGGGCGCUGGAGAACUGAGGGGGGCUGCUCCUAGUACGAGAGGACCGGAGUGGACGCAUCACUGGUGUUCGGGUUGUCAUGCCAAUGGCACUGCCCGGUAGCUAAAUGCGGAAGAGAUAAGUGCUGAAAGCAUCUAAGCACGAAACUUGCCCCGAGAUGAGUUCUCCCUGACCCUUUAAGGGUCCUGAAGGAACGUUGAAGACGACGACGUUGAUAGGCCGGGUGUGUAAGCGCAGCGAUGCGUUGAGCUAACCGGUACUAAUGAACCGUGAGGCUUAACC
This 2893-nucleotide ribosomal RNA is filed under the name Escherichia coli. RNAcentral describes it as "bacterial LSU rRNA". It matches the Rfam family "Bacterial large subunit ribosomal RNA". Lineage: Bacteria; Pseudomonadati; Pseudomonadota; Gammaproteobacteria; Enterobacterales; Enterobacteriaceae. The record is from RNAcentral.